This 2684-nucleotide long non-coding RNA is filed under the name Brassica napus (rape). Its description in RNAcentral is "long non-coding RNA (BNAP_LNC023068)". Lineage: Eukaryota; Viridiplantae; Streptophyta; Magnoliopsida; Brassicales; Brassicaceae. The record is from RNAcentral.
CUCUCUUAUUUAUGUUUUUGCAGCUUUUUGUGGCUAAUGUCUGGUUUCACAAUGUGGUCUCACAAUGCCCUCAAUGUUCUAAACCUUGUGUUAUUUUUUCUUCGGUGUACAAAAAAGCUAAGUCGUAGUAUUUUGCUAUACAUACCUCAAGUUUUGUAUAUAGUUCCACUUUUUGAAUGGCAUAUCAAAAUCAAGAAUUAAAUAAAGAACAUUAAAUGUUUUCAUUGUGUACAAAAUUGAAUCCAACACAAUUGGCCUCAAAUCUAACUCUGAUUUUCACCUAAAGAAAUUUUGGUGAUUGCCCCAACAAAUGCCAAAAAGAGCUGCCUCAGUGACGUCUUUUACCGUCAUCUGCACUCGGAACCUGCAUAUUGGAACUUGAAGAAUGUUUUAACUUAAACACCGAUUUCUAAACUUAAUGUAUGUAGUCUAUACAUUAAAUAAUUUCUAGUGAGGAAAACUAUUAGAGAUAUGUUGGGCCGGAAGAUAUGUAUCUUACGGAUCAAGACUGUGAAGCCCGUGAAACUCAUGAAGACCCUCAAGACUAAAAGGAAAGAUUUGAAGAACAAGUUACUCUCAAGAUAUUUUAGCAUAUUUACAUUAAGUGUUUAGGAAAAUUAGUAUUAUCUAGUGUUAACAUUAUGUUAAUGUUAUCACUAUAUAUAUGAAUAUUGUAUUCUCUUAUCAAACACAACACAAUAAUAUAUCUAUUCUAUUUUACUUUACAUCAAUGUUUUUAAAACCGGACCGGCUAGCGAACUGAAAUUUUUUUGGGUCAUGGGUCAUUGUGGUUCGACCGGGUCUGAACCGGGUUCGAUCGGAUUUACUUCGAUUAAACUAAAUUUAAUGAUAUUUUAUAAAUAAUAUGCAUAUUUUUUUAAAAAAUAGAUCAUAUCAAAUAAAAUGUUUAAAUGGCCAUAAUUUGUAGAAUAACUUAAAAAUAACAAUUAAAAUCUAAAAUCAAUAUGAAAAGCACAUUUAAACUUUAUUCGCAGAUCUUCAUCACCUUUUAAAAAAAAUUAUAUACACAUUAGGUAAAAGUUAUAUUUUGAAAUACAAAAUUUCCGAAAUGAAAAUGUUUCAAUUAUUUAGUCUUCAAAACAAGUGAUCACAAAAUAAAAAUUUUAAAAAAGAGAGAAGUAGACAAAAACAAUAUCUUGACGUGAAUAUUAAACUUUGUGAAUCUUGUAAUUUAUGAGUUGUAUAGAUGACAAAAUAAAAAGACGAGAGAUGAUACUUUAUUAAUCUUUGAUAAGUCCUAUUUUUAUUUUAAAAAGAAAAAAAAUUAAUUGUUUCAUUAUCAAAAUUUUGUCUUAUAUACGAACCGGGUUCUGGCCGGUUCAUUGGAUCGUCGGUUCCCGGGUUUUUGACGGUUUGAUAGGGGGUUUUAACUGGUUCAAUUUUAGUUGGGUUUUAUCAUUAACCCAACCCGGAUUUUUUUCGGUUCAUGGUUCAACCCGGUUCGGUCCGGGUUUAAAAACACUGCUUUACAUGGUAUCAGGGAUCAAAAUUAAAGCUUCCGCAUUAUAAGUUUUAAGCUUUGAUGAUCAUCAUCAGCGUUGGUGUUGGCGAUGUUGAAGAAGAUGGUGAUGAUACGGACGAUGAAGACAGCGUGGUAACGUGGGUGUGAGUCGCUGGGGUUUAGUAAAGUUAUUAGGUUUUGUUUUCUAUUUCUAAUUAGUUACGUGCAAUAGUUAUGGUUUAGACGGCUGAAUUAUCAAAAGUCCUAGUGGGUUUAUGAGUUUGUGGUUUCACAUGGGUUACUUUUGUUAGAGAUUUUCUAUAGUUUAGAAUUUCUCAGAGUUUAUGUUGUGAUUUCCCAUAGUUUGGGAUACGUUGAUUAUAGUUUAACCUUUACUGGGGAGUUUUAGUUAUGCUCAUGUUUUUUAGGUCAAUAUGUUUAGUCCAAGUUACGGACUGUCCGAGAUAAGACGAUUGUUUUUGGAGCUGCAGUUGCGCCAACGGGAUGUAUUCCCAUUGUCAAGACCAAAGAAGAGCUGAAGUUUUCAUCUCUCAUGUCCUAAGUUGAAGUUUAUUCCCGAAGGAAUCUACUGAUUUGUUUUCCUCGACAUAGUGUCCAUGACAUACGUGGUCUGCUUUGUGAUUGCAAAUUUGCGUGUUACAUCCCACGUUUGUCGUGCGGGGGAGUAUUAGAGAUAUGUUGGGCUGGAAGAUAUGUAUCUUACGGACCAAGACUGUGAAGCCCGUAAAACCCAUGAAGACCCUCAAGACUAAAAGGAAAGAUUUGAAGAACAAGCUACUCUCAAGAUAUUUUAGCAUAUUUACAUUAAGUGUUUAGGAAAGUUAGUAUUAUCUAGUGUUAACAUUAUGUUAAUGUUAUCACUAUAGUCUAUAUAUAUGCAUAUUGUAUUCUCUUAUCAAACACAACACAAUAAUAUAUCUAUCAAACAAUACGUGACAACACCUACAUUGUUAUCAUUGCAUCUGUCGCAGCUGAAUUAUGUGAAUCCACGAAGCAGCUUGCGCGAGCACAUAGAACAGGAGAUGCAAAUGAAUUCCACAUCCUACGGGUAACAUAAGUGAAACAUUUUCAUAUAAAUGUUUAAUGUAAUGUUUCUAUUUUUCAUAUUAUAUAUUAAUUUAAAAAUGUAAAACUAUAUUAACUUCAAAAUGUAAAACUAUACAUUUUCAGAUAGCUGUUUAAUGUGGUAUUUACAUUUUUU